CAUGCAAGUCGAGCGAGAAGCUCAUCACAGAUGCUUCGGUUGAAGUGAUGAGUGGAAAGCGGCGGACGGGUGAGUAACGCGUAGGCAACCUGCCCUUUGCAGAGGGAUAGCCUCGGGAAACCGGGAUUAAAACCUCAUGACACCUCUUAAAGACAUCUUUGAGAGGUCAAAGAUUUAUCGGCAAAGGAUGGGCCUGCGUCUGAUUAGCUAGUUGGUGGGGUAACGGCCUACCAAGGCGACGAUCAGUAGCCGACCUGAGAGGGUGAUCGGCCACAUUGGAACUGAGACACGGUCCAAACUCCUACGGGAGGCAGCAGUGGGGAAUAUUGCACAAUGGGGGAAACCCUGAUGCAGCAACGCCGCGUGAAGGAAGAAGGCCUUUGGGUCGUAAACUUCUGUUCUAAGGGAAGAUAAUGACGGUACCUUAGGAGCAAGUCCCGGCUAACUACGUGCCAGCAGCCGCGGUAAUACGUAGGGGGCAAGCGUUAUCCGGAAUUAUUGGGCGUAAAGAGUACGUAGGUGGUUACCUAAGCACGAGGUAUAAGGCAAUGGCUUAACCAUUGUUCGCCUUGUGAACUGGGCUACUUGAGUGCAGGAGAGGAAAGCGGAAUUCCUAGUGUAGCGGUGAAAUGCGUAGAUAUUAGGAGGAACACCAGUGGC
Molecule: ribosomal RNA, 660 nt
Filed under: uncultured bacterium
Lineage: Bacteria
Description: bacterial SSU rRNA
Rfam family: Bacterial small subunit ribosomal RNA
Source: RNAcentral